Molecule: ribosomal RNA, 2723 nt
Filed under: Alaria esculenta (Atlantic wakame)
Lineage: Eukaryota; Phaeophyceae; Laminariales; Alariaceae
Description: large subunit ribosomal RNA
Rfam family: Bacterial large subunit ribosomal RNA
Source: RNAcentral
UAAUAUACUAUUUUAGUGUGGAGUGAAUGCCUUGGAAGAAAAAUAUAGGCGCGGACAAUCGCGAAAGUGUUGACACGAGGAAAGCCUGUGACGUCAACCAACCUAAAAUGGGAAACCGGGGCUAAAAAGCCCGCUGCUUAGGCAGUAUCAAGGGGAAGUGAAACAUCUCAGUACCCUGUAGACCAAAUCAACCGAGAUAUCGUUAGUAGUGGUGAGCGAAAGCGAUAAAAAGGCAAAACGAAAAUUUUAUUAUUAAGAAUGAAAAGAAGUUUUGUUUUUCAAUGAAAUUUCUACCUUAGAAGGUGUUAGUCCUGUAAUUCUUUUUUUUUUCGUGAAAGUAAGACGAGGCAAGUUUACCUUGUCUGAGUAUUGGGGGACCACCCUCAAAGCCUAUAGUUAUUUUUCUUACCGAUAGUGAACAAGUACCGUGAGGGAAAGGUGAAAAAGAAGUUGCGACAGUGCAAAGAUCCUGAAACUCCAUAUUUGAGUCGGAGCUAUAAAAAGCAACGGCAUACCUUUUGUAUAAUGGGCAAGUGAAUCUUAAUAAAGGGCAAGCUUAAGCUAAUAAAAGUGUAGGCGAAGAGAAAUCGAGUCCUAUGUGGCAUCCUAAAGUCCUUUGUUAAGUACCCGAAACCGGCUGAUCUAAACUUGAGCAGGCUGAUAUUGUAGUGGCAACAUUCUUUGGAGGGCCGAACCCGUGUAUGUGGCAAAAUACUGGGAUGACUUGAGUUUAGGGGUGAAAGGCCAAUCAAAGUCGGUGAUAGCUGGAUUUCUGCGAAAUCUAUUGAAGUAGAGCGUCCUAAACAGUAAAUCUGGGGUAGAGCACUGUAUAAGCAAGGGGGAGAUCUUCUCUUACUAAACUUUGGCAAACUCCGAAUACAGAUUUUUCAUUUAGGGCAGACAGAGUAUGUAUGCUAAGAUUCAUACUCAAGAGGGAAACAGCCCAGACUGUAGGCUAAGGUCCACAAAAUAGUUUCAGUGGUAAAGGUGAUAUCUGCUCUGAGACCGUCAGGAGGUAGGCUUGGAAGCAGCCAUCCUUUUAAGACAGCGUAACAGCUCACUGACCUAGAGUAGAAGUCCCGCCAAUUUUGAGGGCUUAAAACUAUUACCGAAGCCUCAGACAAAAAUGUUAAGAUAAUUAAAAACUCUUAUAUUUUGUGGUAGCAGAACAUUCCGUAGGUCGUAGAAGUUUUGACGUAAGUUAAGAUCAAGAUAUCGGAAGCGAGAAUACUUGCAUGAGUAGCAUAAAACAAUGAAAUUAAAGCAUUGUGGCCGUAAGUCCAAGGUUUACGAUCUUAAGUAAAACUGGGUCGUGAGAGGGUAACACCUCGAUUUAAAACGGUCCCUAAGCUGUUAAGCCAAAGCUUGCAGUAAUGGGUAAGAUUAAACUGUUAAAAGUUGCUGACGAAAAAUUCACCUUAUUCUUGAAUUUGUCAAGAGUGAGUUAUUUUUUCCAAGAAAAAGGCACUUUAUUUAUACCGUACCUUAAACCGCCUCAGGUGGACGGGUGGAGAACACUAAGGCCUUGAGAUAACCCUGUUGAAGGAACUCGGCAAAAUGACUCUGUAACUUCGGAAUAAGGAGUAAAGGCAUGUAGCGCAAGCUUUUGUCUUUGUCACAAAAUCGGGGGUGGCGACUGUUUAUUAAAAACACAGGUCUCUGCUAACUCGUAAGAGGAUGUAUAGGGACUGACACCUGCCCGGUGCCGGUAGGUGAAGCUUUGAUGUUUACGCAUUGAGGUCAAACCCCGGUAAACGGCGGCUGUAACUAUGACGGUCCUAAGGUAGCGAAAUUCCUUGUCGGGUAAGUUCCGACCCGCAUGAAUGGUGUAACGACUUCCCCGCUGUCUCCAACAGGGACUCAGUGAAAUUACAUAGGUCGUGAAGAUGCGACCAUCCCACAGCUGGACGGAAAGACCCCGUGCACCUUUACUAUAAGCAAAUAUUGUAGGUCAAAGACUCUAGUGUAGAAUAGGUGGGAGCUUAUGAUUCUUUCUCGUCAGAGUCUGAUGAGGCGAUAGUGAAAUACCACCCCGAGAUCUGUUGGCUUACUAACUAAGGGACAGUGUUUGCUGGGUAGUUUGACUGGGGCGGUCGCCUCCUAAAGAGUAACGGAGGCAUACAAAGGUAGGUUCAUCUCCUUCUAAGGGGAAUUGAGUAUAAUGGUAUAAACCUGCUUGACUGAAAGAAAGACAUUUCGAUCAGAGACGUAAGUCGGUCAUAGUGAUCCGGUGGUUCUUUGUGGAAAGGCCAUCGCGCAAUGGAUAAAAGGUACGCCGGGGAUAACAGGCUAAUGAUCCUCUAGAGCCCCUAUCGACGGGUUCGUUUGGCACCUCGAUGUCGACUCAUCACAUCCUGGAGCUGGAAAAGGUUCCAAGGGUUCGGCUGUUCGCCGACGAAAGUGGUACGUGAGUUGGGUUUAGAACGUCGUGAGACAGUUUGGUCCCUAUCUUCUGUGGGUGUUUGAAAAUUCCGAGGACUAGACCUUAGUACGAGAGGACCGGGAAAACUCGAUCCCUUGUGUUCCGGUUGUUCCCUAAGGGGCAUCGCCGGGUAGCUACAUCGAGAAGAGAUAAUCGACCGUUAGGCGAGAAACUCUCCUCUAGUAAAGUUUUCUAACGGGGGUGGAAGAUUACCACUUUGAUAGGCGGGAGGUGUAAGAGCUGUAAGGUUUUCAGCUGACCCGUACUAAUCCCUAGAAAAAUAAAAUUAUAUAGUUUUUGC